RNAcentral lists this ribosomal RNA (303 nucleotides) under uncultured bacterium. Its description in RNAcentral is "bacterial SSU rRNA". It matches the Rfam family "Bacterial small subunit ribosomal RNA", at positions 355 to 675 of the family's 1533-position model. The record is from RNAcentral.
UGGGGAAUAUUGCACAAUGGGGGAAACCCUGAUGCAGCGACGCCGCGUGAAGGAUGAAGUAUUUCGGUAUGUAAACUUCUAUCAGCAGGGAAGAAAAUGACGGUACCUGACUAAGAAGCCCCGGCUAACUACGUGCCAGCAGCCGCGGUAAUACGUAGGGGGCAAGCGUUAUCCGGAUUUACUGGGUGUAAAGGGAGCGUAGACGGUAUGGCAAGUCUGAUGUGAAAACCCGGGGCUCAACCCCGGGACUGCAUUGGAAACUGUCGGACUAGAGUGUCGGAGAGGCAAGUGGAAUUCCUAGUG